AUUGCACCAGUCUCAAGUGGAAUAAACAGAAAAUGAGGAUCGUAUUUUAUUUACUGCUGAUGCUAGCAGUGGGACGAUGCACAAAAAAACCAAACUUUGAGACAAAGACGGUUGGUGUUGGAGUUUCUGUGGAGCUGACAUGUCCCCGCAAGUCUUCGGGAAGCUUGUUUUGGAUCAGGAUUGAUUCUGGAAACUUUCCUGAAGUCUUAGGAAAGACAUUUAGCCUUAAGAGUAAUGAUCGCAUCACAGCUACAGAAGAGCGUGAACUAUUUGUUCUACAUAUUCAAGAAGCAAAGCUAAGUGAUGCUGCGGUCUACUACCGUAUUCAAAUAAGCAAACAGAACAUCAUAUUCUUGACACAAACUGACCUAAGAGUUAAAGAACCUGAAAGCGCUGCAGUUUCUCCAACUGAUCCAGUCCGUCCUGGAGACUCUGUGACUCUGCAGUGUUCAAUACUCUCCAACUCAAAGAACGAAACACGACCAGAAGAACAAAAUAUGUGCUGUUUCAAGGCUUUUAAUCAAAGUUUUAAUAAUACUCAAGGAAACGUUGUUGAAGUACAUGAAAAGGAACCAGGUGGACCCUCAAAAAAGAAAUGUCUCUACAGCUUCUAUAAGAUUUAUUGUCGUUGUACUCUGUGUACAAUGACAAUAAAAAUAAAAGGCUUUGACAUGUGUUGAUAAUUUGUGAUCUUCUCGCUCCCAGG
Long non-coding RNA from Trematomus bernacchii (emerald rockcod), 706 nucleotides. RefSeq lists it as uncharacterized. The transcript is spliced from 3 exons. The record is from RefSeq and is a predicted model, not a curated record. NCBI's taxonomy places the organism in Eukaryota, Metazoa, Chordata, Actinopteri, Perciformes, Nototheniidae.